UGAUGGUUCCGCCAAAAGCUGCUGUAGCAACCCCACCGUGGUAAGGAGAGGGACUCGACAACGGCCAUGGAAGGCUGCCUGUCCCAACCGCACUGAGAGGGGCUAGACCGCCCUGUCCAGCGGCGGUCCUCGCGGCUGGUUGCAGCCGCCACUCCCCCCAACCCUAACACCAAAUUGAUUUAAUUUAACCCUAGUCAUAACCUCAAAUUGAUUUUAUUUCAACUCAAUCCCA
RNAcentral lists this long non-coding RNA (232 nucleotides) under Lupinus angustifolius (narrow-leaved blue lupine). RNAcentral describes it as "long non-coding RNA (LANG_LNC002241)". Lineage: Eukaryota; Viridiplantae; Streptophyta; Magnoliopsida; Fabales; Fabaceae. The record is from RNAcentral.